AUGUCAAAGUACUCGCAUGCCAUCUCCGGCAAUUUAGGUUGUUUGGUCCUCCAUAUAAAUCCCUUGCCUCCUCUUCUCUUUUCCUCUUUCUUUUCCGAUUUAUGGAAAAGAAAACCCCCCUUCUUUUUUUUCUUUUGGUUACCCGAGCAGGCCUCCUUGCCUUUUUCCAGUCCCACCGAAAUGGGCCAGAACCCAGGCCGACCCAUCCAACCUCUAGGCCACUCCCUCCUAACCCUAGCCCCGACCCCCUCUCGAUCUCUCCUCUCGUUCCCCACUCCGUCGCCAGCCACUUGUCCCGAUCGGGAUCGUCCUCGAUCCCCCACUUUCCCCCGUCUCCUCCCUCAGGCCGUCACCACACACAGAAGAGGGAGCUCGAUCCCCAUGUCCACGCACCACCGCGCCCGGUCCCUCUGUCGGCGACCUCCGCCGCCUUGCAGCCUCUGCUUCUCCUCGCUGGCAGGACUCCUGCGCCUCCUUCAUGGCCCUCCUCCUCCAGCCUCCUCGUCGUCCUGCCAUGGACGCCGAGCUCGAAGCUCCGUCCGACCCUGCCUUCAUGACCUUUGCCGAGCAAGUCCCUCUCCUGGAGCCGCUCGCUGCUGCUGCUCUUCAUCGAGGCGCCAUGUUUCGUCGAUCUGCAGCCAUCUCCCUCGCGCCCUUCCUCCUAGCCGGCGUUCUGCUCGAGGACCAGCCCCGUGCACCCCUGUGCUCGUGGGCAGGGGACCCCAAGAGCGUCGCGUCGUCUCCCUACCUCGCCUGCGCUGCCGGCGUCAACAACAGCAGCGGACCAGAGCCCCUGCCUUGCUCCACCAUGUCGCAGCGCAUCCGGCCAUCGGCGUCCAACACCUCACCAGCCAGCUACUACCUCGAGCAGUCCUGCCAUGGCCAUCACCUCCCCGACGCCCUUGCUGCUGCUGCUAG
RNAcentral lists this ribosomal RNA (918 nucleotides) under Triticum aestivum (bread wheat). RNAcentral's name for it is "partial small subunit ribosomal RNA". The record is from RNAcentral. Lineage: Eukaryota; Viridiplantae; Streptophyta; Magnoliopsida; Poales; Poaceae.